GCGGGCGUCGUUCAAUGGCAGGACCUGAGCUUCCCAAGCUCAAGAUGUGGGUUCGAUUCCCAUCGCCCGCUCCA
Molecule: transfer RNA, 74 nt
Filed under: Serpentinimonas raichei
Lineage: Bacteria; Pseudomonadati; Pseudomonadota; Betaproteobacteria; Burkholderiales; Comamonadaceae
Also listed under: 3 other names
Description: tRNA-Gly (CCC) (tRNA-Gly-CCC-1-1)
Rfam family: tRNA
About the family: Transfer RNA (tRNA) molecules are approximately 80 nucleotides in length. Their secondary structure includes four short double-helical elements and three loops (D, anti-codon, and T loops).
Source: RNAcentral